Molecule: non-coding RNA, 203 nt
Organism: Vicia faba (fava bean)
Lineage: Eukaryota; Viridiplantae; Streptophyta; Magnoliopsida; Fabales; Fabaceae
Source: the annotation of a GenBank genome assembly
AUGGAUCCAUAGGUCCAUGUGUGUAUAUAGAUCCUGUUCAUGGAUUAACGAAAAUGUGCAAGAAUUCUAUUUGCCUCCGCCAUUCUCUGAGUCUCUUCCUUUUUGCGUAUGGCAUCACCACUCCCUUUGGCAGCAUCCACUAAUUCGGAACUUAAUUUGAAAGCCAUAUUUCGACCCGGACGUUUUCGGGAUGCCGCUAAUAA